This 256-nucleotide ribosomal RNA is filed under the name uncultured bacterium. RNAcentral describes it as "partial 16S ribosomal RNA". It matches the Rfam family "Bacterial small subunit ribosomal RNA", at positions 524 to 776 of the family's 1533-position model. The record is from RNAcentral.
UACAGGAGGGGGCAAGCGUUGUUCGGAAUUACUGGGCGUAAAGGGCGCGUAGGCGGCCUUCUAAGUCGAACGGUGAAAUCCCCGGGCUCAACCCGGGAACUGCGUCCGAUACUGGAAGGCUUGGAAUCCGGGAGAGGGAUGCGGAAUUCCAGGUGUAGCGGUGAAAUGCGUAGAUAUCUGGAGGAACACCGGUGGCGAAGGCGGCAUCCUGGACCGGCAUUGACGCUGAGGCGCGAAAGCCAGGGGAGCAAACGGG